Molecule: ribosomal RNA, 253 nt
Filed under: uncultured bacterium
Lineage: Bacteria
Description: partial 16S ribosomal RNA
Rfam family: Bacterial small subunit ribosomal RNA
Source: RNAcentral
UACGUAGGGGGCAAGCGUUGUUCGGAAUUACUGGGCGUAAAGCGCGCGUAGGCGGACCUGCAAGUCGGGGGUGAAAGCCCGAGGCUCAACCUCGGAACUGCCUUCGAUACUGCGGGUCUCGAGUCCGGGAGAGGUGAGUGGAAUUCCUAGUGUAGAGGUGAAAUUCGUAGAUAUUAGGAAGAACACCAGUGGCGAAGGCGGCUCACUGGCCCGGUACUGACGCUGAGGCGCGAAAGCGUGGGGAGCAAACAGG